UCAAACUUGGUCAUUUAGAGGAAGUAAAAGUCGUAACAAGGUCUCCGUAGGUGAACCUGCGGAGGGAUCAUUACCGAAUGGCCUCUUUUGGCCUUUCACCUUCAAAACCUGUGGAUCUCAACGUGUGUUUUGGCGCUCUGGCGCCAAUUUUAUGCUGAAAUCAAUUUUGAAGUCCGAUUUUUUUGUUGCAUUGAAAACUUUCAACAAAGUAUCUCUUGGCUCUUUAGAGGAAGUAAAAGUCGUAACAAGGUCUCCGUAGGUGAACCUGCGGAGGGAUCAUUACCGAAUGGCCUCUUUUGGCCUUUCACCUUCAAAACCUGUGGAUCUCAACGUGUGUUUUGGCGCUCUGGCGCCAAUUUUAUGCUGAAAUCAAUUUUGAAGUCCGAUUUUUUUGUUGCAUUGAAAACUUUCAACAAAGGAUCUCUUGGCUCUUGCAUCGAUGAAGAACGCAGC
Molecule: unclassified non-coding RNA, 453 nt
Filed under: uncultured fungus
Lineage: Eukaryota; Fungi
Description: partial contains small subunit ribosomal RNA, internal transcribed spacer 1, and 5.8S ribosomal RNA
Rfam family: Eukaryotic small subunit ribosomal RNA (bases 1-73)
Source: RNAcentral